This 479-nucleotide ribosomal RNA is filed under the name uncultured bacterium. RNAcentral's name for it is "bacterial SSU rRNA". It matches the Rfam family "Bacterial small subunit ribosomal RNA", at positions 28 to 507 of the family's 1533-position model. The record is from RNAcentral.
GACGAACGCUGGCGGCGUGCUUAAUACAUGCAAGUCAACUGAACUUGAGAUAGCAAUAUUUUAAGGGAGGUGGCGCACGGGUGAGUAACACGUAGGUAAUCUGCCUUUAGGUCUGACACAACCCCGAGAAAUCGGGGCUAAUAUCAGAUGAUGCAGCGGCUCGACAUCGAGACAGUUGUUAAACCUUCGGGGCCUAGAGAUGAGCCUGCGUCUGAUUAGGUAGUUGGCGGAGUAAAGCCCACCAAGCCUGCGAUCAGUAGCUGGUCUGAGAGGAUGAUCAGCCACACUGGAACUGAGACACGGUCCAGACUCCUACGGGAGGCAGCAGUAAGGAAUAUUGCUCAAUGGCCGAAAGGCUGAAGCAGCAACGCCGCGUGGAGGAUGAAAUACUUUUGUAUGUAAACUCCUGUAAGAAGGGAAAAUAUUCCGAUUUAUCGGGAUUGAUUGUACCUUCAGAGUAAGCCCCGGCUAACUACGUG